GCCUCCCAAAGUGCUGGGAUUACAGGUGUGAGCCACUGCACCCAGCCAAGGAAACACUUUUGAGCACCACUUUAUUAGUUGCCUAGGCCGGUCUCAAACUACUGGGCUCAAGCGAUCUGCCUGUCUUGGCCUCCCAAAGUUCUGGGAUUACAGGCGUGAGCCACUGCACCCAGCCUGCUCCAUGAUUUCUGACACUGUGGUGGAAAUUUUGAACAUCUAUUUCUGCAUUAUUUCUAUGAAUUUAUUAAAAUGUAUGCAUUCGUUUACUUAUUGGUGAAUAUGUAAGUCAUUUUUAAUUGUUCAUUCUCAAAAACAAUGAUUUGCAGGGACCUUGAUACUGGCUUUAACUUUGUUUCUGUUGUCUUUUGUUAUAUAAAAAUAUUACAUUUUCAUUUUGUCAAACUUAUCAAUCUUUUUCUGUUGUGGCUUAUGCUUCUUUUUGACUGCAGUUUUCUUAACAAUUUUCUUAACUAUUAAGAACAUUCUCAGGCCCCCGCCCAGACUUACAGAAUCAGAAUCCACAUUUUCACAAGCCGUUUUGCGGUAGACAAUUUUCCCAUUGAUGGAACGGGGCUCGGGGGGCGGGAGGUGAUGGUGGUUUCAGGAUUAAACUGUUCCAUCUCAGAUCAUCAGGCGUUAGAUUCUCAUAAGGAGCAUGCAACCUGGAUCCCUUGCACGCACAGUUCACGACAGGGUUUGUGCUCCUGGUUCCUAACAGACCACAGACUGGAACCAGGGGUCAGACCCCUGCCCUAAAGGGCUGGCAAAUUCUUCCAGUUAGAAAUAGGUACCCACUCACUGGGAGGUUGGAGGACUGGCUAACUCCCUUGGAAUUUCUCAGGGAUUCCUGAUGAAAGUGAGUGGACUCACUCCCAGGUGCCCAAACACCUGCCCUCUGCUGGGCUGCCUUCCCUCUGAUCUGGUACAAUUAUUGUGGCAAGCUUUUAAUGGGAGGCAUUUGUGUACUGAACUAAGUAUCUGGGUGGCGGAGUCAAUACAGUAUAAAUGUUUUUAGGUCAUCUGUCUUUGAGGUGGGCUGUUCACCUCCUUGUUCCCUUGUGGACCCCACUCUUGGGGUCCUGCAGCCUGUCUUCUUUCCCUCCAUCAGCAGCUCCCAGGGAGAAUGCAUCCUAUCCCUCUGAGGUGCUGUCAUCUGACACCCUCCUGGACAGUCCCCCUCAUUUGUGCUUUAAAGUGUUUGGCAACUGCCCCUUGUCAUCAGCACUCUCAGUCCCACUGUUAUUCUGGUGUCUUUGAUGUGUAUGUGGCUGACCCAACUGAUACCCUGACUUCUCAGCUCCUUGACUUCCUCA
Molecule: long non-coding RNA, 1313 nt
Filed under: Homo sapiens (human)
Lineage: Eukaryota; Metazoa; Chordata; Mammalia; Primates; Hominidae
Description: non-protein coding lnc-PSMG4-18:6
Source: RNAcentral